RNAcentral lists this long non-coding RNA (547 nucleotides) under Mytilus galloprovincialis (Mediterranean mussel). The record is from RNAcentral. Lineage: Eukaryota; Metazoa; Mollusca; Bivalvia; Mytilida; Mytilidae.
AUUUAAACAACACAUUUAUUUGGAAUUCAAAUAUUCAAAUGUAUUCAACAUGUAUAUAAACAAUAAACAUAUAGAAAACAGUAAAACAGUAAAACAACAAAAGUAUAAGGCUACACAAAAAUAUAUUCUGUUAGUUUUUUUAAGCUAGAUAAAAAAAAUGGUUGACCUGUUAGUACUAUGGGAGUGUUUAAUGACCUUGACUCUCUAUGAGGGUCUUCAUGGUGAGUCAACAUGUUGGUAAAAAUAUAUCAUUGCCAUUUUAUCCAAAGCCAUUUUCAUGAUACAAUAGCCAGAUUAGGCACCAUAAUUGGGCAAUUUCAGUAAUAAUUGCUCUUCAAAUUAAUAAUGGAUUUCGCCUUUCAACAUUUUAAGUAAGUAAAUUGUUUACUAUUUUUUUUUUUUAUUACUUUAUAUUUUUUUUCCUGUAAGUAUGUGUACCUUUAUCCUGAAAUUUAUACAGUGAAAGCAUACAUAAUAAAACAUGCAACAUAUAAACUUAGUAACAAAAACGCAAGUAAAAAUUUACUUACUUUAUAGUAAAGCCAUU